CUUGGUUGAUCCUGCUAGUAUUCAUAUGCUUGUCUCAAAGAUUAAGCCAUGCAUGUCUAAGUAUGAACUAAUUCAAACUGUGAAACUGCGGAUGGCUCAUUAAAUCAGCUAUAGUUUUUCUGAUGGUACCAUUACUACUCGGAUAACCAUAGUAAUUAUAGAGCUAAUACAUGCACCAAGUCCCGACUCUUUGGAAGGGAUGCAUUUUUUCGAUAAAAGGUUGGCGCGGGCUUUCUCGCUUCUCCGGUGAAUCAUGAUAACUCAACGGAUCGCACAACCCUUAUGCUGGCGAUGCUUCAUUCAAAUUUCUGCCCUAUCAACUUUCAAUGGUAGGAUAGAGGCCUACCAUGGUGGUGAUGGGUGACAGAGAAUUAGGGUUCAAUUCCUGAGAGGGAGCCUGAGAAACGACUACCACAUCUAAGGAAGGAAGCAGGCAUGCAAAUUACCCAAUCUUGACAUGGGGAGGUAGUGACAAUAAAUAACAAUACUAGGUUCAUCGAGUCUAGUAAUUGGAAUGAGUACAAUCUAAAUUCCUUAACGAGGGUCCAUUGGAGGGCAAGUCUAGUGCCAGUAGUCGCGAUAAUUCUAGCUCCAAUAGCGUAUAUUUAAGUUGUUGAAGUUAAAAAGCUCGUAGUUGGAUCUUCGGUCGUAAAGGUCGGUCCGCCUACUCGGUGUGCACCUGCCCUUCCAUCCCUUUUGUUGGCGGCGUGCUCCUGGCCUUAAUUGGCUGGGUCGUGGCUCCAACGUUGUUACUUUGAAAAAAUUAGAGUUCUCAAAGCAAGCUUAUGCUCUGAAUACAUUAGCAUGGAAUAAUGUGAUAGAAGUCUGGUCCUAUUGUGUUGGCCUUCGAGACCGGAGUAAUGAUUAAUAGGGACUGUCAGGGGCAUUCGUAUUUCAUUGUCAGAGGUGAAAUUCUUGGAUUUAUGAAAGACGGACCACUGCGAAAGCAUUUGCCAAGGAUUUUUUCAUUAAUCAAGAACGAAAUUUGGGGGCUCAAAUACAAUUAGGUACCAUCCUAGUCUCAACCAUAAACGAUGCCGACCAGGGAUCGGUGGAUGUUACUCUAAGGACUCCGCCAACACCUUCCAAGAAAUCAGAGUGUUUGGGUUCUAGGGGGAGUAUGGUCGCAAGGCUGAAACUUAAAGGAAUUGAUGGGAGGGCACCACCAGGAGUGGAGCCUGUGGCUUAAUUUGGUUCAACACGGGGAAACUUACCAGGUCCAGACAUAGUAAGGAUUAACAGAUUUAGAGCUCUUUCUUGAUUCUAUGGGUGGUGGUGCAUGGCUGUUCUUAGUUGGUGGAGCAAUUUGUCUGGUUAAUUCCGAUAACGAAUGAGACCUUAGCCUGCUAACUAGCUACGCAGAGGUUCCCCUUCACAGCAAACUUCUUAGAGGGACUAUGGCCAUUUAGGCCAUGGAAGUUUGAGGCAAUAACAGGUUUGUGAUGCCCUUAGAUGUUCUGGGCCACACGCAUGCUACACUGAUGCAGCCAAUGAGAUUUUCUUCCUAGUUCGAGAGGAUCAGGAAAUCUUCUAAAAUUUCAUUGUGAUGGGGAUAGACCAUUGCAAUUAUUGGUCUUCAACGAGGAAUUCCUAGUAAGCGUGUGUCAUCAACUCAUGUUGACUGUGUCCCUGUCCUUUGUACACACCGCCCAUCGCUCCUACCGAUUGAAUGAUCUGGUGAAGUGUUCGGAUUCCAUCGACGAUGGUGGUCCGCCACCAUCGACGUCGUGAGAAGUUCAUUGAACCUUAUCAUUUAGAGGAAGGAGAAGUCGUAACAAGGUUAUUGUAGGUGAACCUGUGGUAG
RNAcentral lists this ribosomal RNA (1804 nucleotides) under Pinus taeda (loblolly pine). RNAcentral describes it as "SSU rRNA". It matches the Rfam family "Eukaryotic small subunit ribosomal RNA". The record is from RNAcentral. Lineage: Eukaryota; Viridiplantae; Streptophyta; Pinopsida; Pinales; Pinaceae.